AGGGGUGUAGCUCAAUUGGUAGAGUAGCGGUCUCCAAAACCGUUGGUUGCGGGUUCGACUCCCUCCGCCCCUGCCA
Molecule: transfer RNA, 76 nt
Filed under: Opitutaceae bacterium
Lineage: Bacteria; Pseudomonadati; Verrucomicrobiota; Opitutia; Opitutales; Opitutaceae
Description: tRNA-Trp
Rfam family: tRNA
About the family: Transfer RNA (tRNA) molecules are approximately 80 nucleotides in length. Their secondary structure includes four short double-helical elements and three loops (D, anti-codon, and T loops).
Source: RNAcentral